AGAGGGAGACAGCCGUGACCCUGAGGGCAGUGACUGGCUCGCCGCGUCCCUGCAUCAGGCAUUCGCCCGGCUUUCUCGUGAUUGUUUCCGGGCACCCCUGGCCUCUCCCGACUUCUCCCCCUCGCGGGUCCCCAAGCCCCGCAAGUUUGCGACGAGCUGGUUCUCUACGGAGACAGCGAGCCCCCACCCCCGCUCUGCGGCUGGGUGUGUGUGGUGAGAGGAAGAGACGGGAGGAGGAGGCGAGGCCGACUCGCCAACGAGGAAAACGGGUUGGUUCCAUUUUCAGAUUUCAUCUUCCUGAACUGGAAAUGUCAAUGAGAGGAAAUUAACACCCCCAAGAGCUGCAGUGAGCAAAUGCGUUGAGCUUGGAUCAGGACAAUUCCAUUUGGGGACCAGAGAUGGACGGUCACUCAGCCUAUGGAGAUGAAGAAACUGAGGUUCAGAGAGGUUAAGAGACUCCACUGAGGUCACACAGCCGAUGACAGACAACCUUCUGUGCCUUCAUCAAGUUGGUUGUGUACACACCAUGCCCCUGGUGACAGCAUGGGAAAGAAAAAGCCCUAAUUAAGGAUCAUCAGAAACCACAGUUGGAGGAGGACGGCAGAGACAGCUUCCCUCCCCGCUAUACCAAGACCCUUCCCUCGAGGUCCUCGCUCCUGAGGGACCCUGGACUGUCACAGAGAUUAAUGACCCCUUAUCUUCUUUGGAUGGGAAAGGAAAUCACUGGUUAAAGCUUGAUCAAGAGACAUUAUCAGCUCUUUAAAGAUUGCAGAAAAAUAGGCUACUUUAUCUUCUGAAAAGGUAAAUAUAUGCAAGCAAAGCCAACAUGCCACGAAUGGCCUUGGUCUACCACACAGUGGUGUCUGGGACACAGUUGAGGGUCAUCCCCCAGCGGGAGUGAAGUCGAGCUUAGCGGCCCUUGUGUCCUCCCUUGGAAUUCCCGCCAUCCCUUCUGAUUGAGCCUCCACCUCUGGGAUUUUUCUUCCGUUUUUCUCCUCUCUUAGGAGGGAGUUCCUGCUACCCAUUGUGGGAGGCCACCAUCAGGACUGC
RNAcentral lists this small RNA (1050 nucleotides) under Pongo abelii (Sumatran orangutan). RNAcentral describes it as "processed transcript". The record is from RNAcentral. Lineage: Eukaryota; Metazoa; Chordata; Mammalia; Primates; Hominidae.